UACGGAAGGGGCAAGCGUUGUUCGGAAUCAUUGGGCGUAAAGGGCGCGUAGGUGGUUCUGUAUGUCUGCCGUGAAAGCAUACAGCUCAACUGUAUUUUGUCGGUAGAAACUGCAGGACUUGAGGCUGGGAGGGGCUGGUGGAAUUCCCUGUGUAGCGGUGAAAUGCGUAGAGAUGGGGGAGAACACUCGUGGCGAAGGCGGCCAGCUAGACCAGAUCUGACACUGAGGCGCGACAGCGUGGGGAGCAAACAGG
RNAcentral lists this ribosomal RNA (253 nucleotides) under uncultured bacterium. RNAcentral's name for it is "partial 16S ribosomal RNA". It matches the Rfam family "Bacterial small subunit ribosomal RNA", at positions 524 to 776 of the family's 1533-position model. The record is from RNAcentral.